This 866-nucleotide ribosomal RNA is filed under the name Hickmania troglodytes. Its description in RNAcentral is "SSU rRNA". It matches the Rfam family "Eukaryotic small subunit ribosomal RNA", at positions 52 to 916 of the family's 1831-position model. The record is from RNAcentral. Lineage: Eukaryota; Metazoa; Arthropoda; Arachnida; Araneae; Austrochilidae.
UGCAUGUCUAAGUACAUGCCGUUAUAAGGCGAAACCGCGAAUGGCUCAUUAAAUCAGUUAUGGUUCCUUAGAUCGUACCUUACUACUUGGAUAACUGUGGUAAUUCUAGAGCUAAUACAUGCAGCAGAGCUCCGACCUUUCAGGGACGAGCGCUUUUAUUAGACCAAGACCAAUCGGACCUCGUGUCCGUAUCUUAUGGCGACUCUGAAUAACUUUGGGCUGAUCGCAAGGGCUUGUCCCGGCGACGCAUCUUUCAAGUGUCUGCCUUAUCAACUGUCGAUGGUAGGUUAUGCGCCUACCAUGGUCGUAACGGGUAACGGGGAAUCAGGGUUCGAUUCCGGAGAGGGAGCCUGAGAAACGGCUACCACAUCCAAGGAAGGCAGCAGGCGCGCAAAUUACCCACUCCCGGCACGGGGAGGUAGUGACGAAAAAUAACAAUACGGGACUCUUUUGAGACCCCGUAAUUGGAAUGAGUACACUCUAAAUCCUUUAACGAGGAUCUAUUGGAGGGCAAGUCUGGUGCCAGCAGCCGCGGUAAUUCCAGCUCCAAUAGCGUAUAUUAAAGUUGUUGCGGUUAAAAAGCUCGUAGUUGGAUCUCAGUUCCAGACGGGUGGUCCGCCUACCGGUGGUUACUGCCUGGCCUGAACAGCCAGCCGGUUACUCUAGAUGAUCUUCACCGGUUGUCUAAAAUGACCGGCACGUUUACUUUGAAAAAAUUAGAGUGCUCAAAGCAGGCGUGACGCCUGAAUAAUGGUGCAUGGAAUAAUGGAAUAGGACCUCGGUUCUAUUUUGUUGGUUUUCGGAACACGAGGUAAUGAUUAAGAGGGACAGACGGGGGCAUUCGUAUUGCGACGCUAGAGGUGAAA